GGUUCUUACAGUGCAGUAUGUAGGGACGGAGAAGGCAACUUUUUGGGCGCGUCGGCCAUCAGAUGUGCCGGCCUCACUGACCCUGCUACGCUUGAAUCGUUAGCUUGCCGGGAAGCUCUUGCGCUCGCUCAGGAUCUCUCGCUAUCCCAUCUUAUAGUUGCUUCUGACUCCAAAGGGGUGGUGCAGGAUAUCAAGCUAGGCACUGGUGCGAUGUAUGCAACUAUUGUGAGGGAAAUUAGAGAGACGAUGGAACUUUUUCAUCAAUGUUCCGUCAUCUUUGAAGGACGGGAAACUAAUCAAGAGGCACAUAGCCUUUCUAAGCAUGCUUUUGGUCUGGAUCCGGGGCGCCUCCUGUGGCUUUUAAACCCCCCAGAUUUGAAUUGUAUCCCUAUGAACAUUAUUCAAUAA
This 408-nucleotide ribosomal RNA is filed under the name Triticum aestivum (bread wheat). Its description in RNAcentral is "partial small subunit ribosomal RNA". Lineage: Eukaryota; Viridiplantae; Streptophyta; Magnoliopsida; Poales; Poaceae. The record is from RNAcentral.